This 306-nucleotide ribosomal RNA is filed under the name uncultured bacterium. RNAcentral's name for it is "partial 16S ribosomal RNA". It matches the Rfam family "Bacterial small subunit ribosomal RNA", at positions 507 to 807 of the family's 1533-position model. The record is from RNAcentral.
GACAGCAGUCGCCACGGUAAUACGAAGGGUGCAAGCGUUAAUCGGAAUUACUGGGCGUAAAGUGCGCGUAGGUGGUUUGUUAAGUUGGAUGUGAAAUCCCCGGGCUCAACCUGGGAACUGCAUCCAAAACUGGCAAGCUAGAGUAUGGUAGAGGGUGGUGGAAUUUCCUGUGUAGCGGUGAAAUGCGUAGAUAUAGGAAGGAACACCAGUGGCGAAGGCGACCACCUGGACUGAUACUGACACUGAGGUGCGAAAGCGUGGGGAGCAAACAGGAUUAGAUACCCCGGUAGUCCCUGUCUCUUAUAC